RNAcentral lists this ribosomal RNA (440 nucleotides) under uncultured bacterium. Its description in RNAcentral is "partial 16S ribosomal RNA". It matches the Rfam family "Bacterial small subunit ribosomal RNA", at positions 338 to 795 of the family's 1533-position model. The record is from RNAcentral.
CCUACGGGAGGCAGCAGUGGGGAAUAUUGCACAAUGGGCGGAACCCUGAUCCAGCGACGCCGCGUGAGGGAAGAAGUAUUUCGGUAUGUUAAGCUCUAUCAGCAGGGGAGAAAAUCACCGUACCUGACUAAGAAGCCCCGUCGAACUACGAGCAAGCAGCCGCGGUAAUACGUAGGGGGCAGGCGUUAUCCGGAUGUACUGGGUGUAAAGGGAGCGCAGACGGCUGUGCAAGUCUGUAGUGAAAGGCGGGGGCCCAACCCCCGGCCUGCUGUGGAAACCGGAAUGCUGGAGUGCAGGAGAGGUAAGCGGAAUUCGUGGUGUAGCGGUGAAAUGCGUAGAUAUUAGGAGGAACACCAGUGGCGAAGGCGGCUUGCUGGACUGCAACUGACGUUGAGGCUCGAAAGCGUGGGGAGCAAACAGGAUUAGAUACCCGAGUAGUC